Molecule: non-coding RNA, 114 nt
Organism: Triticum aestivum (bread wheat)
Lineage: Eukaryota; Viridiplantae; Streptophyta; Magnoliopsida; Poales; Poaceae
Source: Rfam
UAGCUACUUCCUCCGUUUCAAAUUAUUUGUCACAGUAUGGAUGUAUUUAGAUAUAGUUUAGUUCUAGAUAAAUUCAUUUUCGCGACAAAUAAUUUGAAACGGAGGGAGUAGCUG